CAAUUGGAGGGCAAGUCUGGUACGUAGCAAGGCAGGCAGCAACCAUGGGCGCUACCACCAGAAAGAGAACCAAGAAGAAUCCAUCAAAGCGAAGCACAUGGACCACUCACUCACGCAAUCCACUUCACCUUCACCUUCACCUUCACCUUCACUUCACCUUCACUUCACCUUCGCUUUUCAAUCACUUCUCCCCCAUCUCCCACACCAUCACAUCACCUCGCUCCUUGCCAUCUUGCAGGUGCCAGCAGCCGCGGUAAUUCCAGCUCCAAUAGCGUAAGUAACAGACACAGACAGAACACACCAUCUCGCUGACCAACAGCGCAGCAAUGCAAUGAACGAGAUGCACACACACGCGCAAUCCACUCACACAAUCACAUCCCCCACCCACCUUCUCUUCACCACCAACCCACCAAACAACAACCCAACAACCCACAGGUAUAUUAAUGUUGUUGCAGUUAAAAAGUUCGUAGUUGGAUUUUUGGCAGACGCGGACGGCCUGACACUCAGUGUUUGUGCUUCUUGUCCGCGUCGCCAUCCUUGGGUGGAGCCUGUGUGGCAUUAGGUUGUCGUGCAGGGGAUGCCCAUCAUUUACUGUGAGAAAAUAAGAGUGUUCAAAGCAGGCUUAUGCCGUUGAAUUUGUUAGCAUGGAAUAAUAAGAUAGGGCUUCGGAGCUAUUUUGUUGGUUUGCGCGCUGAAGUAAUGAUUAAAAGGAACAGUUGGGGGCAUUCGUAUUCCACUGUCAGAGGUGAAAUUCUUGGAUUUUUGGAAGACGAACGACUGCGAAAGCAUCUGCCAAGGUAAGUUUCAAGUCACUGGCACAGUCACAGGCAUAUGACCCCUGCCCCCAGUUGAAGGGAGGAGGAGAAGCAGCGAAAUUAUCCCCUGCAGCGAUCAAUCACACUCAUACUCACACUCACACUCACUCUCUCUUCUUCUCUUCCAAACUUGCCACCAACGUCAUUGAUCAACAGUAUGUUUUCAUUAAUCAAGAUCGAAAGUCAGGGGAUCGAAGAUGAUCAGAUACCAUCGUAGUCUUGACCAUAAACUAUGCCGACAAGGGAUUGGUGGAGUUUCGUUUAGUCUUCAUCAGCACCUUACGAGAAAUCACAAGUUUUUGGGCUCCGGGGGGAGUAUGGUCGCAAGGCUGAAACUUAAAGAAAUUGACGGAAGGGCACCACCAGGUACGUUUUUCAUUCUUGCUCUCAAUCACUUGCUGUCACAGGCUGUUCUUUCCCCCACCACUUAUGGCCUUUCCCACUGCAGCAAUGACCAGCAAAUGACCAGCAAAUGACCAACAAAUCAACUCACAUAAGUAAUUUCUCCGCUUUCGUUCCAUUCUCUCCCUCGACCUACCUCCCAACACAAACACAACACACGAUGAACCGUUGAUGAACUGCAGGAGUGGAGCUUGCGGCUUAAUUUGACUCAACACGGGAAAACUUUCCAGGUCCAGACAUAGUGAGGAUUGACAGAUUGAGAGCUCUUUCUUGAUUCUAUGGUUGGUGGUAAGUACGCAGCAGUGGCAGACGACGAUGACAACGAUGACAACGAUGACGACGACGAUAUGUGGCAAGAAUGACUGCACGAGCAAGCAGCAGCAGCAGCAACGGCAACUGACACACACAUUCCCCAUUCCUUCUCUCCUCCUCCUUCUCCUUGAAUGAUGACUCUGAAUGAACAACAACACACAGGUGCAUGGCCGUUCUUAGUUCGUGAAUUGAUUUGUCUGGUUUAUUCCGAUAACGAACGAGACCCCUGCCUGCUAAAUAGCAUGCCGAAUGAAUCUUCAUUGGGUGAUGCUUCUUAGAGGGACGUGCAUUCUAUUAGAUGCAGGAAGAUAGGGGCAAUAACAGGUAAGAAUGAAUGAGUGAAUGAGUGACUGUUAUUGAAUUGAAUGAAUGACUGCUGUGGUUGAAUUGUGACCGACGAUGGGCUGUGAAUGUCAAUGUUGAACCUUGACUCACAUAUAAAUGCAAC
RNAcentral lists this ribosomal RNA (1977 nucleotides) under Craspedostauros paradoxa. RNAcentral describes it as "partial 18S ribosomal RNA". The stretch from base 427 to 1977 matches the Rfam family "Eukaryotic small subunit ribosomal RNA", at positions 1 to 1566 of the family's 1831-position model. Lineage: Eukaryota; Bacillariophyta; Bacillariophyceae; Mastogloiales; Achnanthaceae. The record is from RNAcentral.